Molecule: ribosomal RNA, 580 nt
Filed under: uncultured bacterium
Lineage: Bacteria
Description: partial 16S ribosomal RNA
Rfam family: Bacterial small subunit ribosomal RNA
Source: RNAcentral
UGGGGAAUUUUGGACAAUGGGGGCAACCCUGAUCCAGCAAUGCCGCGUGUGUGAAGAAGGCCUUCGGGUUGUAAAGCACUUUUGUCCGGAAAGAAAUCGCCCUGGCUAAUAUCCGGGGUGGAUGACGGUACUGGAAGAAUAAGCACCGGCUAACUACGUGCCAGCAGCCGCGGUAAUACGUAGGGUGCAAGCGUUAAUCGGAAUUACUGGGCGUAAAGCGUGCGCAGGCGGUUGUGCAAGACAGAUGUGAAAAUCCCCGGGCUUAACCUGGGAAUGGCAUUUGUGACUGCACGGCUAGAGUGUGUCAGAGGGGGGUAGAAUUCCACGUGUAGCAGUGAAAUGCGUAGAUAUGUGGAGGAACACCGAUGGCGAAGGCAGCCCCCUGGGAUAACACUGACGCUCAUGCACGAAAGCGUGGGGAGCAAACAGGAUUAGAUACCCUGGUAGUCCACGCCCUAAAACGAUGUCAACUAGUUGUCGGGUCUUAAUUGACUUGGUAACGCAGCUAACGCGUGAAGUUGACCGCCUGGGGAGUACGUCGCAAGAUUAAAACUCAAAUGAAUUGACGGGGGUCAUAGCU